Long non-coding RNA from Ctenopharyngodon idella (grass carp), 1650 nucleotides. RefSeq lists it as uncharacterized. The record is from RefSeq and is a predicted model, not a curated record. Lineage: Eukaryota; Metazoa; Chordata; Actinopteri; Cypriniformes; Xenocyprididae. The transcript is spliced from 3 exons.
UUGACUCUAUAGGUGGCUAGCUUGCAAAUGUAAGAUGAAACAGAAAUGACAUUUAAAAAGCAAUUAGUUGAGCAAUUAGAAACACAAUUUAGAUCUUGCAUGACUACUUGCAAUGAUUGAUGUAACUCUGAAUCAAAAGUUUCCCUCUAUGUGUUCAUUGUAGCCUGUUGCUAGAAGCUUUCAGGCUGUGAAAUCUUUCACAUCUCCAGGCUUCAGUUGCACCGUGGGUGGCACAGAUGCGACUUGAGUGAAUUGGUCAUGGAAAUGAUGCAAUUUUGUGUAAGAAAGUCUUAAGAGAAAUAGCAGUGAAUUUGAACAUCUGCAGAAAAAAGUAUGUGAACCCUUAGGAUUGAUCAUUACAUUUUAUCUGACCUUCAGCAAGAAAAAACAUUGAUACUCUUUCGUGUUAACUUUUGAACACACCAUUAACAUUCACAGUGCACGUUGUAAAAAGUAUGCGAACCCUUGGAUUUUAUAACUGGUUGACCUCCUUCGGUAGCAGCAGUAAGAGGAUUGUGUAAGAAGAUCUUAAGAGGAAGAGCAGUGAGUUUGAACGUCUGCAGAAAAGUGCGUGGUGGGAAAAAGUAUGUGAACCCUUGACCUCCUUUGGUAGCAGCAUUAAGAAGGUUGUGUAAGAAGAUCUUAAGAGGAAGAGCAGUGAGUUUGAACAUCUGCAGAAAAAAUGCAUGAACAAAUGACAGCGUUUCAGACAGAAGUGUGGCAUGACAUCUGAGGAGCAGCGAGAACAUCAAGGGAAAUGAAAUUUUCAUGAAGUGGAUUACUUAGUAUACCAAUGUAUAAAUGUAUUUAAAUGAUCUCUAUGCGCAGCUCUCACUGUCAUUUUAAGAUAUAGCAGAACUAGUAUGCACUGCACAUGCAUUUCCCAUGGGAAAAAAUUACAUUUUAUAUUUACAUUUACAUUUGCAUGCACAUUUUAAAUACAAAUAUAUUUACUGUAUGUGUGUGUGUUUAGUUACUUACUAUAAGUUUAGUUACUGUAUUCUCAUAUAUAUUUUGUAUCUCUUAUGUAUGUAUCUUAUGUUCUUGCCUCUUAAUGUACAUUUUGUAGUAUAUUUUGGCAUUUGAAAAUUUAAAGUGCCCCUGUAAUGCUAUUUUAAAGGUUCCUAAUUUUGUUUUGGAGGUCUCCAACAAUAGAUUUACAUGCAUACAAUGUCAAAAAAACACUUUAAUUUUCUCAUAAUAUACACAUCAGUCUGAAAACUGUUUGUUCGAAGAUUCAGUGUCUCUAAAUCCCUUCUUUCCGCGAGACUACUCUGCUCUGAUUGGUCAGACAGCCCAGUCUGUUGUGAUUGGUCUAUAAUCGGAAAUGAAAUGCCUACUACCAUAUCUGAAUUUCAGCUCCGGAGGCUUCCUUAGCCCUUAUACACAUAUAUCAUGCACUUUGAUCUUUAACACUUUUUAACAGACUUUUUACAUUCACAAACAGCUAUAUUCACUGCAUGAGAGGUAAUAGCCGAAAAAGCAUAAUAGGGGCACUUUGAAAGAAAUACAGUAUAUAUUCAAAAUUCCUGCUGUGCUUUUAACAACAUAUUUAGUAUAUAUUUGAAAUGUAUUUUCCUAGUAUAUUUUCCAGUGUAUUUUUAUGUAUUUUCUUCCAAGGGAUUGAAUAGAAUGUUUGUUGUUGUUACA